Molecule: ribosomal RNA, 275 nt
Filed under: Salmonella enterica subsp. enterica serovar Meleagridis
Lineage: Bacteria; Pseudomonadati; Pseudomonadota; Gammaproteobacteria; Enterobacterales; Enterobacteriaceae
Also listed under: 1 other name
Description: partial 23S ribosomal RNA
Rfam family: Bacterial large subunit ribosomal RNA
Source: RNAcentral
AAAAAGAACCUGAAACCGUGUACGUACAAGCAGUGGGAGCACAGGUUUACCUGUGUGACUGCGUACCUUUUGUAUAAUGGGUCAGCGACUUAUAUUCUGUAGCAAGGUUAACCGAAUAGGGGAGCCGCAGGGAAACCGAGUCUUAACCGGGCGUUAAGUUGCAGGGUAUAGACCCGAAACCCGGUGAUCUAGCCAUGGGCAGGUUGAAGGUUGGGUAACACUAACUGGAGGACCGAACCGACUAAUGUUGAAAAAUUAGCGGAUGACCUGUGGCU